AACACACUUCACGUUCCUAAAAAUACCCUAGGAAUCAAAAAUACGUGAAAAAAAUCCUUCCCGGCCAAUUUCAGGGUUCUAGCAGGGUGACACCGCCGUGCUCCGGUGACGACACCAUCGCUUGCAGUGGUGAAUAGCCUCGACCUAGUUAUUUUUGGCCGGUUCUAGCCGGUUUCGGCUGGUUUUACAAAUAUCCAUGUGAAACAACACGUUAGGGACUCUAGGUUGGCUG
Molecule: long non-coding RNA, 232 nt
Filed under: Carica papaya (papaya)
Lineage: Eukaryota; Viridiplantae; Streptophyta; Magnoliopsida; Brassicales; Caricaceae
Description: long non-coding RNA (CPAP_LNC010610)
Source: RNAcentral